This is a non-coding RNA of Acanthosepion pharaonis, 95 nucleotides long. Lineage: Eukaryota; Metazoa; Mollusca; Cephalopoda; Sepiida; Sepiidae. The record is from the annotation of a GenBank genome assembly.
AAACAACUGUUCUCGUGCGAUCACUGAAGAUAAGCAGUAUCGAGCCUAGUCAGUAUCUAGAUGGGUGACCACUUGGAAAUAUUAGGGAGUCGUAA